GAUGAACGCUAGCGACAGGCCUAACACAUGCAAGUCGAGGGGCAGCACAUGAGUAGCAAUACGAUGGUGGCGACCGGCGCACGGGUGAGUAACACGUAUGCAACCUGCCUUCUACUAUGGGAUAACCCGUUGAAAGACGGACUAAUACCGUAUAAUACAGGGGCUCCGCAUGGAGAUAUUUGUUAAAGAUUUAUUGGUAGAAGAUGGGCAUGCGUAUGAUUAGAUAGUUGGUGAGGUAACGGCUCACCAAGUCAACGAUCAUUAGGGGUUCUGAGAGGAAGGUCCCCCCACACUGGUACUGAGACACGGACCAGACUCCUACGGGAGGCAGCAGUGAGGAAUAUUGGUCAAUGGACGAGAGUCUGAACCAGCCAAGUCGCGUGAAGGAAGACGGUUCUAUGGGUUGUAAACUGCUUUUCCAGGGAGAGAAACUUACGCACGUGUUGCGUGACUGACGGUACCCUGGGAAUAAGCAUCGGCUAACUCCGUGCC
RNAcentral lists this ribosomal RNA (492 nucleotides) under uncultured bacterium. RNAcentral's name for it is "bacterial SSU rRNA". It matches the Rfam family "Bacterial small subunit ribosomal RNA", at positions 28 to 509 of the family's 1533-position model. The record is from RNAcentral.